UACGGGGGGAGCAAGCGUUGUUCGGAUUUACUGGGCGUAAAGGGCGCGUAGGCGGUCGUGACAAGUCACUUGUGAAAUCUCCGGGCUUAACUCGGAACGGUCAAGUGAUACUGUCGGACUAGAGUACAGAAGGGGCAACUGGAAUUCUCGGUGUAGCGGUGAAAAUGCGUAGAUAUCGAGAGGAACACCUGCGGCGAAGGCGGGUUGCUGGGCUGAUACUGACGCUGAGGCGCGAAAGCCAGGGGAGCGAACGGG
This 255-nucleotide ribosomal RNA is filed under the name uncultured bacterium. Its description in RNAcentral is "partial 16S ribosomal RNA". It matches the Rfam family "Bacterial small subunit ribosomal RNA", at positions 524 to 776 of the family's 1533-position model. The record is from RNAcentral.